This 875-nucleotide long non-coding RNA is filed under the name Phoenix dactylifera (date palm). Its description in RNAcentral is "long non-coding RNA (PDAC_LNC017386)". Lineage: Eukaryota; Viridiplantae; Streptophyta; Magnoliopsida; Arecales; Arecaceae. The record is from RNAcentral.
AAAACCAAAUGCAUAAAACUGACAUACAAAGAAUAGAUAAAAAUUAUCUGCUAUUAAAUUUGAAAAUGAAGCCUACAGGCAGAGUAGAUCCAGGUACAAGUCUCCAGUAAACAAUCAUUAUAGCAGAUAUACCGUUGCACAAAAUUGUCAAUGUGCAAUACAUAUGAAGGUUUAAGUUAACAUAAGAAAGAUUAGAGCAAAAUCUGACAUACCUCUGGUUUGAUAAUUGCCAUCUCACUUUCUGACAUUUGAUGAUAGCCUCUUAGUACGUAAGGCAAAAGAGAAUAAACACAUAGAUACAGAGGAAAUUACUAAACUGCUCCUCCAAGCUCAAAGUUUCUAGACUGGACAAUAUAUAACGAUGUUCCCAAGCACAAACACUUCUGAUUAUAUAAUAGGUAGUGGCUGUUAACAAAAACAACACCAAACAAUAGACAUUUCAAGAACAUGUUUGUCCUCGUUUCUUCUUGGGAUAGCCUCUUUAACAAUCAUCCAGUCAUAGGCAUCACUUCAGUAGGAUGUUAAUAAAACAAUUGGGUUAUCAAGUCACUUGCUUGACCUACCAAAAGAAAGAGAAAAAUUAGAAAGAUGAUACAGGAUCCUUCCUAUAAACAUAACAAUAUAUGCCAAUAACAAAAUGCCCAAAACAGAAAGAUCUGCCUGCACUACAACAGGCUCUAGCAUCAAACUAGAGGCUCCAUGCAUGGGUUUUUCUCCGAUUGCUUCUUUUGUUCCAAAUGGACUUCCUGACCUGACUCCUCUAUUUCUCUAAACUAGUAAUAUCUUUCUAAAUUCAAAAAUCUGAAUCAGAUUGUUUACCAGCUCUACACCCAUGGGAAUAUGCAAGUUGCAGACAAUAAAGUACAAGCAAAUAU